UCUUAUUAAACGUGUGAAGUUUGGGGCAGAUUGGACAUUGCCUUCUUGAGUAACAACAACUUCCUGUUUCAUUGCAUUAGCAUGCUUUAGCACUUAGCUAAGAAUUGCUAGCAUGUUUUAACAUGUUUCUAACAUGUUUAUAACUCAAUGGCAUAUUUAAUAUGUUGCUAGCCAUGACUCUUAUCAAACGUGUGAAGUUUGGGGCAGAUUUGACAUUCCAUGCCUGAGUUACAGCAAAUUCCUAUUUAAUUUUAGUAAUAGCAUGCUUUAGCACUGGGGUAAGUGUUUGCUAGCAUGUUUUAGCAUGUUUCUAGUAUCAUGUUUAGCACUUGCUUGCACUUUUUUAUAUCUUAUUAUGAGUCCACAACAGUGUUAAACAUGUCACUUCCUGUUG
This is a long non-coding RNA of Rhinichthys klamathensis goyatoka, 394 nucleotides long. RefSeq lists it as uncharacterized. The record is from RefSeq and is a predicted model, not a curated record. NCBI's taxonomy places the organism in Eukaryota, Metazoa, Chordata, Actinopteri, Cypriniformes, Leuciscidae. The transcript is spliced from 3 exons.